UGUCAAGGGAUGCGAAUCGAGCCCACGACCUUCCGCUUACCGGGCAGAUGCCAUGACCACUAGGCUACCCUGGAC
Molecule: transfer RNA, 75 nt
Filed under: Cordylochernes scorpioides
Lineage: Eukaryota; Metazoa; Arthropoda; Arachnida; Pseudoscorpiones; Chernetidae
Description: tRNA-Thr
Source: RNAcentral